GCCUGCAGUCGAACGCAGUAGCAAUACUGAGUGGCAGACGGGUGAGUAUAAUGUGGGAAUCUGCCUUUUGGUUCGGAAUAACACGGGGAAACUUGUGCUAAUACCGGAUAAGCCUUCACAGGGAAAGUUUUAAUGCCAAAAGAUGAGCCCGCACUUGAUUAGCUAGUUGGUAAGGUAAUGGCUUACCAAGGCAACGAUCAAUAGCUGUUCUUAGAGGAAGACCAGCCACAUUGGGACUGAGACACGGCCCAAACUCCUACGGGAGGCAGCAGUGGGGAAUCUUGCACAAUGGGGGAAACCCUGAUGCAGCGAUGCCGCGUGAGUGAAGAAGGCCCUUGGGUUGUAAAACUCUUUCGUCGAGGAAGAAAAUGACUGUACUCGAAUAAGAAGGUCCGGCUAACUUCGUGCCAGCAGCCGCGGUAAU
Molecule: ribosomal RNA, 424 nt
Filed under: uncultured Alphaproteobacteria bacterium
Lineage: Bacteria; Pseudomonadati; Pseudomonadota; Alphaproteobacteria
Description: bacterial SSU rRNA
Rfam family: Bacterial small subunit ribosomal RNA
Source: RNAcentral